Molecule: ribosomal RNA, 337 nt
Filed under: uncultured bacterium
Lineage: Bacteria
Description: bacterial SSU rRNA
Rfam family: Bacterial small subunit ribosomal RNA
Source: RNAcentral
AGGGUUUGAUUAUGGCUCAGGAUGAACGCUGGCUACAGGCUUAACACAUGCAAGUCGAGGGGUAACGACGGCGAAAGCUUGCUUUUGCUGGGCGACGACCGGCGCACGGGUGAGUAACGCGUAUCCAACCUGCCCAUAACUAAGGGAUAAUCCGUAGAAAUGCGGUCUAAUACCUUAUGUGAUCCGAGGAAGACAUCUGAUUUGGAUUAAAGAUUUAUCGGUUAUGGAUGGGGAUGCGUCUGAUUAGAUUGUUGGCGGGGCAACGGCCCACCAAGUCUGCGAUCAGUAGGGGUUCUGAGAGGAAGGUCCCCCACAUUGGAACUGAGACACGGUCCAA